UACGUAGGUGGCAAGCGUUGUCCGGAAUUAUUGGGCGUGAAGCGCGCGCAGGUGGUUCCUUAAGUCUGAUGUGAAAGCCCACGGCUCAACCGUGGAGGGUCAUUGGAAACUGGGGAACUUGAGUGCAGAAGAGGAAAGUGGAAUUCCAAGUGUAGCGGUGAAAUGCGUAGAGAUUUGGAGGAACACCAGUGGCGAAGGCGACUUUCUGGUCUGUAACUGACACUGAGGCGCGAAAGCGUGGGGAGCAAACAGG
Molecule: ribosomal RNA, 253 nt
Filed under: uncultured bacterium
Lineage: Bacteria
Description: partial 16S ribosomal RNA
Rfam family: Bacterial small subunit ribosomal RNA
Source: RNAcentral